This 274-nucleotide ribosomal RNA is filed under the name uncultured bacterium. Its description in RNAcentral is "partial 16S ribosomal RNA". It matches the Rfam family "Archaeal small subunit ribosomal RNA", at positions 473 to 747 of the family's 1478-position model. The record is from RNAcentral.
AUACCCGCUCCGCGAGUGGUGGGGACUUUUACUGGGCUUAAAGCGCCCGUAGCCGGCUGGGUGUGUCCUCCGUUAAAUCCACAGGCCUAACCUGUGGGCUGCGGGGGAUACUACCCGGCUUGGGGGUGGGAGAGGGCGGCGGUAUUCCCGGGGUAGGGGUAAAAUCCACUGAUCCCGGGAGGACCACCAGUGGCGAAGGCGGCCGCCCAGAACACGCCCGACGGUGAGGGGCGAAAGCUGGGGGAGCAAACGGGAUUAGAAACCCCAGUAGUCC